AGAGUUUGAUCCUGGCUCAGGAUGAACGCUAGCGGCAGGCCUAAUACAUGCAAGUCGAACGGAUAUAGAGACUUCGGUUUCUAUAUUAGUGGCGCACGGGUGCGUAACGCGUAUGCAACCUACCUUUUAUUGGGGGAUAGCCCGAAGAAAUUCGGAUUAAUACCGCAUAAUAUCCUUUGAGGGCAUCUGAAGAGGAUUAAAGCUGAGGCGAUAAAAGAUGGGCAUGCGUGUCAUUAGCUAGUUGGUGUAGGUAACGGCUCACCAAGGCGACGAUGACUAGGGGUUCUGAGAGGAUGAUCCCCCACACUGGUACUGAGAUACGGACCAGACUCCUACGGGAGGCAGCAGUAGGGAAUAUUGGGCAAUGGGCGAGAGCCUGACCCAGCCAUGCCGCGUGCAGGAUGAAGGCCUUCUGGGUUGUAAACUGCUUUUACCAGGGAAGAAAAUACCUUUGCGAAGGGAACUGACGGUACCUGGUGAAUAAGCACCGGCUAACUCCGUGCCAGCAGCCGCGGUAAUACGGAGGGUGCAAGCGUUGUCCGGAUUUAUUGGGUUUAAAGGGUGCGUAGGCGGCUUGAUAAGUCCGUGGUGAAAGCCAACAGCUCAACUGUUGAACUGCCAUGGAUACUGUCAAGCUUGAGUACAGACGAGGUAGGCGGAAUGGAUCGUGUAGCGGUGAAAUGCAUAGAUACGAUCCAGAACUCCGAUUGCGAAGGCAGCUUACUAGGCUGUAACUGACGCUGAGGCACGAAAGCGUGGGGAGCGAACAGGAUUAGAUACCCCCGUAGUCC
RNAcentral lists this ribosomal RNA (791 nucleotides) under uncultured Adhaeribacter sp. RNAcentral describes it as "bacterial SSU rRNA". It matches the Rfam family "Bacterial small subunit ribosomal RNA", at positions 8 to 796 of the family's 1533-position model. Lineage: Bacteria; Pseudomonadati; Bacteroidota; Cytophagia; Cytophagales; Hymenobacteraceae. The record is from RNAcentral.